RNAcentral lists this transfer RNA (73 nucleotides) under Stegodyphus mimosarum. It matches the Rfam family "tRNA". Rfam says of the family: Transfer RNA (tRNA) molecules are approximately 80 nucleotides in length. Their secondary structure includes four short double-helical elements and three loops (D, anti-codon, and T loops). Further hydrogen bonds mediate the characteristic L-shaped molecular structure. tRNAs have two regions of fundamental functional importance: the anti-codon, which is responsible for specific mRNA codon recognition, and the 3' end, to which the tRNAs corresponding amino acid is attached (by aminoacyl-tRNA synthetases). tRNAs cope with the degeneracy of the genetic code in two manners: having more than one tRNA (with a specific anti-codon) for a particular amino acid; and 'wobble' base-pairing, i.e. permitting non-standard base-pairing at the 3rd anti-codon position. Lineage: Eukaryota; Metazoa; Arthropoda; Arachnida; Araneae; Eresidae. The record is from Rfam by way of RNAcentral.
GGCUUCGCGGUGUAGUGGUCAGCACGCUGGGCGCAUAUUCCAGAGGUCCGUGGUUCGAGUCCCGGCGAAGGCG